GAUGAUUUGUACAGUACAGAUGUGAAAAUACAUAUGUAUGUGUAUGUGUAUGUGUGUGACAGAGAGAGAGAGAGAGAGAGAGAGAGAGAGAGAGAGAGAGAGAGAGAGAGAGAGAGAGAGGGAGAAGUCAUGGUUGCCAAGAGAGCAAAGAGUCUGUGGUCACUGUACGACAGGUGAGGUUGAUAUGGAGGUGCACUUUCUUCUUCAAUGUAAGAAAUAUGAACAUAUUAGAGAUACCUACUUCGAUAGAUUUACCAACCUAAUCCCGGAGCUCCCAAACCUGGGAGAACAGGAAGUACUGCCCACCUUACUUGGACAGCAAGGACUGACAGCAGCUCUUGCUGCUAAAUAUGUCACUGAAUGUCACAGGGUGAGGGACAGUGAUGAGACAGCACCACUACAUAUAUAUACCUAUCCUCACCAUUGUGAACACCACACAAAGAAAACACUAUACUCAAGCACAUGAGAUACAUACACAAACAAACACACACACACCAGUUUGUAUAAAUGUCUUAUCUAUUGUAUGUUCUGUAUUGUAUUGUUUGAUGUCCUGCUUUGGCAAUGCAAAUAAAUAUUUGUGCGACACCAGCCCGGAGGACAGAGGGUUGGGGUUAUAAUGCACCCUCUGGUCAGUCAAACAUCUCUGAAGAAGGAUGGGCUUCUCUACUUUUUACUAAACUUUUAAACAGGUUAACACCUCCAGUGACGUGUGCAAAACAGGAAGGGCUUCAUAUUGCAGCAUUAGACCAAAGGAAGCGGUUUAGUUUCAACUCCCAAGUUCCCAAGUUCAACCCUUCUGAUCAGAUGAGCAGCUAAGACUCAAGGUAAAUGCAGGAUGUGGUUUGUACUCUACAAAACCUUCUGAGGAGCUGACAUACUGGACAUUGAAAAAAAAAAAAUAAUAAUAAUAAUAAUUGAAAGUAAUUGAAAGAUAUGCAUGUAUAUAAAAUACUACGUAAAGGGGAAUAUAGUAUACUAUUAUGUAAUAAUCCACUUACAGUAAGUGCAUUUUUAAAAGAAAGAAACAAAGAACAACAAAACAUUGUAGAUAAUAGUUCCUAGAAUGGUAUCUACUAAAUAUAAAAACAUGGAUUGAGUGAGAGAUUUUGUUAGUUAUCCCUGAGAAAUGUUGUCCUCUUUCCUAACGCUGUAUGGACAAUCAGGUUCAAAUCAAUGAAGUUGCACUCUUG
Molecule: long non-coding RNA, 1190 nt
Organism: Alosa sapidissima (American shad)
Lineage: Eukaryota; Metazoa; Chordata; Actinopteri; Clupeiformes; Clupeidae
Exons: 3
Source: RefSeq, a predicted model, not a curated record